This 253-nucleotide ribosomal RNA is filed under the name uncultured bacterium. RNAcentral describes it as "partial 16S ribosomal RNA". It matches the Rfam family "Bacterial small subunit ribosomal RNA", at positions 524 to 776 of the family's 1533-position model. The record is from RNAcentral.
UACGAAGGGGGCUAGCGUUGCUCGGAAUCACUGGGCGUAAAGGGUGCGUAGGCGGGUUCUUAAGUCAGAGGUGAAAUCCUGGAGCUCAACUCCAGAACUGCCUUUGAUACUGAGAGUCUUGAGUUCGGGAGAGGUGAGUGGAACUGCGAGUGUAGAGGUGAAAUUCGUAGAUAUUCGCAGGAACACCAGUGGCGAAGGCGGCUCACUGGCCCGAUACUGACGCUGAAGCACGAAAGCGUGGGGAGCAAACAGG